CGGUAUCUGAAGGGGAAUUUCCAAAUCAGUAUUUAUUUAAUGAUUUAGGAAAAGUUAUUGUGCUUUCAGAUUAGAAACUAAGUGACUUGGGAUAGUUCUAACCAGAAUCCCCUAACUUGAGAACUUUUCCAUUGCAUAGAUAAUCCGAAACUGGGACAUCUCGUUCCUUACCCCAAUGCGUCAUAUAAGCUUUAGAUUAAAGAAUUAGGAUAAACCCUUUAAACUUUUCUUGUAAAUGCAUUGGAGUGCUGCAUUGGAGAUGUAUCAAGCUGAGUCUAUUUGAAGUCAGAUAUUGUGACACAAUCCUGCCUUAAGUUCUGAUCCGAUUAUGAAACAUCCUUUACUCUUCCAAAGAUUAAAUGGAAACUUAGAGAUUUCCCAAUUCUCGACUUCUCCAUUGCAAUACAAGGCAGUAACAAAUCGGGGAACACUUUGGA
Drosophila subpulchrella is the source of this 437-nucleotide long non-coding RNA. RefSeq lists it as uncharacterized. The transcript is spliced from 3 exons. NCBI's taxonomy places the organism in Eukaryota, Metazoa, Arthropoda, Insecta, Diptera, Drosophilidae. The record is from RefSeq and is a predicted model, not a curated record.